This 308-nucleotide ribosomal RNA is filed under the name uncultured eukaryote. RNAcentral describes it as "partial 18S ribosomal RNA". It matches the Rfam family "Eukaryotic small subunit ribosomal RNA", at positions 1470 to 1796 of the family's 1831-position model. The record is from RNAcentral.
CCCUUAGACGUUCUGGGCCGCACGCGCGCUACACUGACGAAGGCAACGAGCUUUCCUUUACCGAAAGGUACGGGUAAUCUUUUGAAACUUCGUCGUGCUGGGGAUAGAUCCUUGCAAUUAUUGAUCUUAAACGAGGAAUUCCUAGUAAGCGCAAGUCAUCAACUUGCGUUGAUUACGUCCCUGCCCUUUGUACACACCGCCCGUCGCUACUACCGAUUGAAUGGUUUAGUGAGGCCUUCGGAUCCGCGACUCGUUUUGUGGAGAAGUUGGACAAACUCAGUCAUUGAGAGGAAGUAAAAGUCGUAACA